CUACGGGUUGCUCCAGUGAGGAAUAUUGCACAAUGGGGGGAACCCUGAUGCAGCAACGCCGCGUGGAGGAUGACGCAUUUCGGUGUGUAAACUCCUUUUAUAUGUCAAGAAAAUGACGGUAGCAUAUGAAUAAGCAACGGCUAACUCCGUGCCAGCAGCCGCGGUAAUACGGAGGGUGCACAGCGUUACUCGGAAUCACUGGGCGUAAAGGACGCGUAGGCGGGUUGGAAAGUCAGGUGUGAAAUCCUACAGCUUAACUGUAGAACUGCACUUGAAACUUCUAAUCUAGAGUAUGGGAGGGGGAGAUGGAAUUAGUGGUGUAGGGGUAAAAUCCGUAGAUAUCACUAGGAAUACCUAAAGCGAAGGCGAUCUCCUGGAACAUUACUGACGCUAAGGCGUGAAAGCGUGGGGAGCAAACAGGAUUAAAUACCCGGGUAGUC
Molecule: ribosomal RNA, 440 nt
Filed under: uncultured bacterium
Lineage: Bacteria
Description: partial 16S ribosomal RNA
Rfam family: Bacterial small subunit ribosomal RNA
Source: RNAcentral